This 386-nucleotide unclassified non-coding RNA is filed under the name soil metagenome. RNAcentral's name for it is "partial contains 5.8S ribosomal RNA, internal transcribed spacer 2, and large subunit ribosomal RNA". The stretch from base 1 to 120 matches the Rfam family "5.8S ribosomal RNA", at positions 35 to 154 of the family's 154-position model. The record is from RNAcentral.
GAUGAAGAACGCAGCGAAAUGCGAUAAGUAAUGUGAAUUGCAGAAUUCAGUGAAUCAUCGAAUCUUUGAACGCACCUUGCGCUCCUUGGUAUUCCGAGGAGCAUGCCUGUUUGAGUGUCAUGAAAUUCUCAACCUUUUCAGCUUUCUUUGUUGAUCAGGCUUGGAUGUGGGAGUAUGCGGGCUUCUCAGAAGUCGGCUCUCCUGAAAUGCAUUAGCGGGACCUUGUUGCCUGGCUUUGGUGUGAUAAUUAUCUACGCCAUUGUAGUCAAGCAGCUUAAAAUGAGGUUUCAGCUUCUAACCGUCUCCCCUGAGACAACUUUUUGACAAUUUGACCUCAAAUCAGGUAGGACUACCCGCUGAACUUAAGCAUAUCAAUAAGCGGAGGA